RNAcentral lists this transfer RNA (68 nucleotides) under Conus striatus (striated cone). RNAcentral describes it as "tRNA-Glu". The record is from RNAcentral. Lineage: Eukaryota; Metazoa; Mollusca; Gastropoda; Neogastropoda; Conidae.
GUUCUUGAGGUGUAACACCAGCACAUUAGGUUUUCAUCCUAAAGGUAUAAUAGAAUUUAUCUAGAACA